RNAcentral lists this ribosomal RNA (725 nucleotides) under Proteus mirabilis. RNAcentral's name for it is "bacterial SSU rRNA". It matches the Rfam family "Bacterial small subunit ribosomal RNA", at positions 41 to 756 of the family's 1533-position model. Lineage: Bacteria; Pseudomonadati; Pseudomonadota; Gammaproteobacteria; Enterobacterales; Morganellaceae. The record is from RNAcentral.
GGCAGGCCUAACACAUGCAAGUCGAGCGGUAACAGGAGAAAGCUUGCUUUCUUGCUGACGAGCGGCGGACGGGUGAGUAAUGUAUGGGGAUCUGCCCGAUAGAGGGGGAAACUACUGGAAACGGUGGCUAAUACCGCAUAAUGUCUACGGACCAAAGCAGGGGCUCUUCGGACCUUGCACUAUCGGAUGAACCCAUAUGGGAUUAGCUAGUAGGUGGGCUAAAGGCUCACCUAGGCGACGAUCUCUAGCUGGUCUGAGAGGAUGAUCAGGCACACUGGGACUGAGACACGGCCCAGACUCCUACGGGAGGCUGCAGUGGGGAAUAUUGCACAAUGGGCGCAAGCCUGUUGCAGCCAUGCCGCGUGUAUGAAGAAGCCCUUAGGGUUGUAAAGUACUUUCAGCGGGGAGGAAGGUGAUAAGGUUAAUACCCUUGUCAAUUGACGUUACCCGCAGAAGAAGCUCCGGCUAACUCCGUGCCAGCAGCCGCGGUAAUACCGAGGGUGCAAGCGUUAAUCGGAAUUACUGGGCGUAAAGCGCACGCAGGCGGUCAAUUAAGUCAGAUGUGAAAGCCCCGAGCUUAAGUUGGGAAUUGCAUCUGAAACUGCUUGGCUAGAGUCUUGUAGAGGGGGGUAGAAUUCCAUGUGUAGCGGUGAAAUGCGUAGAGAUGUGGAGGAAUACCGGUGGCGAAGGCGGCCGCCUGGACAAAGACUGACGCUCAGGUGCGA